UUGAAACAAACGGGAGUCUGUGUCACAAUUGAAGAUAAUAGAAGCAAACUCUGCAAGCCGGAGACGGUAUAAAAUCACACAUAAAUUCAAUUUGAUUGUGCCAAGAAUAAUAAUUCAAAAGACAAGUUCUACCUUUAUAAGAACCUGUGCUAAAAAAGAACUACCUACACUAACAUAAUACAAACAUAAAUGUUAACAUAGAACUUACGUGAGUUUGACAUUCCUCCACCACACAGCGCUUCUAAAACGACGAGUCUGAUUCCUGAAGCGAGUUCGAACCUGCAUCCCAACAUAUCAAAUGUCCAUGCAGUUUUUUAUCAUCCGAGUUGUACUUACGGAAAAUGAAAUGCAUGUUUUUGAAAGGCUGAAAAUAUCAUGUUAGGAAUACAAAAUGUUAGGAAAGAUUUUGAAAGGCAGAAAUGAAUAUUAUGACCAAAGUUUCAUGUUUGUAGAGAUUCAAAGACUGAGUGCCAUAGCUCUGAAACUACUGCCACACAAUCAACACAUUUGUUGAUUAAUCUUAGAGUUCUACCUGCCUUUGACGGAUAUUUUCAAGCCUUCAACAAAGUUAUGAUUAUCUAAAGAUUCAUUCACAUAUCAAGAUUGAGGCAUAGUUUCUGCAGUAAAAUUGG
Molecule: long non-coding RNA, 632 nt
Filed under: Trifolium pratense (red clover)
Lineage: Eukaryota; Viridiplantae; Streptophyta; Magnoliopsida; Fabales; Fabaceae
Description: long non-coding RNA (TPRA_LNC006368)
Source: RNAcentral